This 753-nucleotide non-coding RNA is filed under the name Rhodopsalta microdora. Lineage: Eukaryota; Metazoa; Arthropoda; Insecta; Hemiptera; Cicadidae. The record is from RNAcentral.
UUGAAGUUAAAUUCUAGUUUAUAAAUUUAAAUUUAAGAUUAUAUUACAUGCAAUUUUUUGAUUAUUUAUUUAAUUCUAAAGGAAAAUUUAAUAGAACGCAGUAUUUAUUAUUAUUAAUUAAUAGUAUUAGAAUUAGUAAUUUUAUUUAAGAGAAUCAAAUUUCGUGCCAGCAGUUGCGGUUAUACGAUUUCUUUAAUUUAAAUAGUUAGGUUUCAGUUAAUGUAUGAAUAAUUUUAAAUAACAAUAAUUUUGGUGAAAUAUAUUUUGUCUUGAAAAAUUAAUUUUAUAUCUGAAAAAUUUUUGUGUAAACUAGGAUUAGAUACCCUAUUAUUAAAAAUGUAAUAAAAAUAACUUGAUUAUUAUUAGAUAUGAUCUUUAAAUUCAAAGAAUUUGGCGGUAAUUUAUCUUAUCAGAGGAACCUGUUUUAUGAUUGAUAAUCCACGAUAGAAAAAACUUUAAUUUAACUUGUAUAUCUCUGUCAAGAAUGUUUUAUAAGAAAAAUUUUCAUGUUCAUGAUUUAUAUUUAAUGUCAGGUCAAGGUGCAGUUUAUAUUAAAGAAAAAAUGGGUUACAAUUAAAUAUAUAAUGGAUUGUUUUUUAGAAUAAAAAUAUGAAACUGGAUUUGAUAGUAAAUUAAUUAAAUUUAAUUAAUUGAAAUUAGCUCUAAAUUAUGUACAUAUCGCCCGUCACUCUCAUAGUAUUAUUGAGAUAAGUCGUAACAAAGUAACUGUACCGGAAGGUGUAGUUAGAAAGA